AGGAAAUUGCCAAAAAUAUUAUUUUAAAAGUAUCACUUUUCAUGUUUACACUAACUACUAUUACCCUCAUCUUUAAUGAAGGGUAAAAGACAAUUAACUUUGACAAAAAAAACAUAUGAUUAACUAAUCAAAACUUAAAACAUCAACUUUAAACCCUAAAUCAUCAAUUUUAAACCAUAAACUAUGAAACAUCAACUCUAAACCCUAAACCCCGAAACAUCAACUCUAAACCCUAAACCCUAAACCUUCAAAUCUAAACCCUAAAAUACCAAUUCUAAACCUUAAACGUAAAUCCUAAACCCUAAAUCUAAACUUAAAACAUCAACUUUAAACACUAAAUCAUCAACUCUAAACCCUAAACUAUGAAACAUCAACUCUAAACCCUAAACCCCGAAACAUCAACUCUAAACCCUAAACCCUAAACCUUCAAAUCUAAACCCUAAAACAUUAACUCAAAACCUAAAUGUAAACCCUAAACCCUAGAUUUUUCUGAAAUUCGAACCAUAAACCCUAAAACCCUAAACCUUCAAAUC
Molecule: long non-coding RNA, 533 nt
Filed under: Brassica napus (rape)
Lineage: Eukaryota; Viridiplantae; Streptophyta; Magnoliopsida; Brassicales; Brassicaceae
Description: long non-coding RNA (BNAP_LNC026882)
Source: RNAcentral